AUUGAACGCUGGCGGAAUGCUUUACACAUGCAAGUCGAACGGUAGAGGGGGCAACCCCUUGAGAGUGGCGAACGGGUGAGUAAUAUAUCGGAACGUGCCCAGUCGUGGGGAUAACGUAGCGAAAGUUACGCUAAUACCGCAUACGAUCUACGGAUGAAAGCGGGGGGACUCGCAAGAGCCUCGCGCGAUUGGGAGCGGCCGAUAUCCAGAUUAGGUAGUUGGUGGGGUAAAGGCUCACCAAGCCAACGAU
RNAcentral lists this ribosomal RNA (250 nucleotides) under uncultured bacterium. RNAcentral's name for it is "partial 16S ribosomal RNA". It matches the Rfam family "Bacterial small subunit ribosomal RNA", at positions 30 to 280 of the family's 1533-position model. The record is from RNAcentral.